Sapajus apella (tufted capuchin) is the source of this 6079-nucleotide long non-coding RNA. RefSeq lists it as uncharacterized. Lineage: Eukaryota; Metazoa; Chordata; Mammalia; Primates; Cebidae. The record is from RefSeq and is a predicted model, not a curated record. The transcript is spliced from 2 exons.
CCCAGCCUGGGGUGGGGGUGGGUGGCUGACCAGGCAGCCGCAGGCAUGCUCCUGGAUAUUCAGUGGGAUGUCUGCUUCCUCUUACUGCUUCAAAGACCAGACUAUGUCCUCUCUCAGGAAUCCUGGGAGCCAUGGACUGUCCCUGAGGGAGGGCAUUGCACUGUACUUUGAAACCCUCCAGGACUCACCCACACUCCUUAAUGUGGCCACUUUUCAGGCACUGGCUACUAGCCAUCCCCUCCCCCGCUCCCUCCCUCCCUUGCUCCUUCCCUCCCUCUCACGCAGGUCCAGCCGCAGUGAACUCCCUACUCACUUCGAAUCUACUUGACUUCAUGCCUCUGAAUGUUUGUAUGGGCUCGCUUUCCUCUAUCUCUUCUUCCUGGUGCAAACUCUUGUUCAUCCGUGGACUGCAAGCUCUCACUCAAUUGUAAGCACCAUGAAAGAAAAGGUUGAGCUUAUUUAAUACUUUAUUUCCCCCAGUCUACAACAUUUGGCACACAGUAGGUAUUGAACCAAUGUUUACUGACUGACUGACUGAUGUAUGCUUCAAAGUCAGCUCAUUUUCACUCUAAAGCCUCAAUUCUCCAACCCCCCCUAGAUAUUUCCCUGGGGCCCACACCACGCCGAGAGUACCUUUGGUUGUGAGUGCUUGCCUACUUUGUCUUCUUCACCAGGCAGAGAACCUCUUGAAGCUGGAACCGUGUCUGAUUAAUCCUUUUACCUGUAGCGUCCAGUUCAGGCCCUGGCAUCCAGCAGCGUGGGGUGCAGCAAAUGUGGGGCCCUUGCCAGCAGCCUGGCUUGGUGACUUGAAAUCCCCUGUCGGUCCCAACUGCAUGCGCCAGUCCAAGCUGUUGGCAACAUCUGCCUCAGAGUCUCAUUUGCAAUUACACGUUCUCAGGCUCUUGCCACUUAAUAUUUAAUAACCAGGCGGCUGGCCUUCUCUGGCAGCCACUUAAGUCCCUGAUUGCCUCUUGUCUGAACUUGGCCCCAAGUGAGGCAGGGGCUGCUUUGAGGUUAAGUGUAAAGUCUGUGUCCCGAGUCGGGGGCUAGCAUAAGCCAGACCCUUGGGGAUGGAGGAAGGAAUGCCUGCUGGCUUGAGGCUCCUGGGUGACCUUACCAGGCAAAAGGCUGGUUGGGCAUUUGCUCCAACUGGCUCCACCUUGCCUCCCCUGCCAUGUAGGUCUAAGGCCACUCCUGGCCUCAUAGCAGGGGAGGAGGAAGAGAGGAAAAUUGUUCAUGAGAGGGUCCCUGACUCACAUCCGAUUGGUCCAGGAGGAAGAAAGGGGGAUUCCGCCUGGGCUGUGUCCCAGCAGGAAAGGUGGUUCUGUCCUGUGCGGCUUGGCCACCAGGAGCCAGGGCAGUCCCUGUGUGGGCCUGUGGCGCCACGGAGUUGGGCUCUGGCAGCUGUGCCAGCCUCUCCUGGCACAAGGCUGGGGAGUCUUUCCAAGUUGGCUGUGGAAGGAGAUGAGGCAAUGGUGAUGACCUGACCCUAGGGAUGGCCAACCCUGGGAAACCCUGCAGGCCCAGGGAGGUGUGUCCUCUGCAGAACUGCUGUGGUGAGAGGGUGGAGAGAGGCCAAGUGGCGUGCGAAGGUCACGGGAGGCUUCAGGAAGGUAACAGCAAGCACAGCGGCUCGGAGGCUGGACUCUGCUACUGAAGCCCUGAGGUCCAGAGAAGGACUCCCACCUGGAAUCUCAGACUUUGGAUCCCAGAGGGCAUUUUACAGGGUCAAGAGACUGGCUUUCCAGGUCCCACUCUGCCCCUAACAAGCCCAGUGACCUUGGGCAAGUCAUCCAGAUUAUACUGUCACCGCACGUGUUGGGCAGCACGACGGCCUUGGGGUCCUUCCUGCUUGGAGUCCUCUGUUCUCCCCUCAGAGCUCAUUUGGCCAGCCCAGGAAUCUGAGACCAGAAAUGCUGCUCCGUUGGUCUGCAGGGCUGGUCCCUUUAGAAGGUGGUGCUUAGUAUAGAACACGAUGAUUUCCCAAUCGGCAGUGUUUACAGCACUUACUGUGUGCAAGGGGCCGUGCUCAAUACGCCAGCUGCCAGCAUACUCAGUCUCAGUCAUCUGUGCCAUCCUGGUCCUUUCCGUUUCCCUCUCCUGCUCAUCAUCCUCAUGCCCUGUGACAGUAUCUUUAAGACCCAGCCCAGCCCUGGCCCACAGUCUCAUCCCACCUUCCCCUGCACUACCCCCUUAGACCACCAUCUACCAGCCUCCUUUCAGCUCCCCUGCACCACCUUGGCCCCUGCAAUCCAUCCCCCACCAGCAACCAGGAGGCCUUUGAACCAUGGAAAUCAGACCACGUCCUUCUUCUGCUCCGAACCUUCAGGGGCUGCCAUGGCGCUUCCAGUCAAACUGAACCCUACAGCCACGCGGCUCUACACAGCCAGUGCCUGCCUCUUCUCCGUCCUGAGGUUGUCUCGUCUUUGCUGCCCACUCCGCUUCAGCCACACUGGCCUCCUUCCUCUCCUCGGACGUGCCCCUCGAGUCCAACCUUGGCCCUUCAAGGCUAUCGAUGUCACCUGUGCUUUAGUUCAAAUGCCACCUCUAGAGUAUCCUUCCUUCAGUCUCUAAAAGACCCCUCCUCCUUAUACCCCCCACUUGUUAUCCUAUUUUCAAAUUUUAUAGCACUUGUCACUUUCUCAUGGUUCUCUUAUUUAUUUAUGCGCACUCUCCCCCACCUGGAAUGCAAACUUCAUCAGAACCAGACUUAGUGCCUGCUGUUCCCUGCUGGCCCCCAGUGCCUAGAAGGCUCCUGACACGUGGCAGGGACUCUAUGGGAUUUGUCAGAGGAGUGAUGACAUGGCCUUGAGGGAUGAGAUGGAGUAGUAGUAUCUCAUUUAAUAGAAAGCCCAGCGAUGCUAGGUGCCUGUGCAACUUACCAGACUUGUAAAGGGUGGAGUUGGGAUUCAAACCCCCGACUGUAGAGGGCUCCAGCAUCUGCGCUUUUAUUCAGGGGGCUGAAUACUGUGGCCAUGGUCAGAGCCUCUGAGUCCCAGGAACUCAGAGUUCAAUCAGGGGUGAGGGACGGGGAGGCACUGGCACUGGCGGUGUCUGGCAUGUGCUUCUUGAUUUUGCCCCCAUCUGGGAUCCUACCUUAAGGUCUAGAAUGAGGCCCAGCCUUGCCCUCACCCCUCUGCCCAAAGGCCACCCCUGCAGCUCCUGUCCCCCCUGCUGGCUUAGCUGUGGGUCAGUGAGCUCAUCCUCUGCCCACCCUGCGGGUUUCCAACGCUCCCUCCCUCUGCCGCAGUCGUUGCUACACAAGUUAAUGGAAUAACAAGACACUUUACCCAUUAUCUGAUGCAAAUACCUUUCCUCGCCAGCACCAGCUCUACAGCUCAGAUCUUCCUGUAACACAGCCCAAAGGCCUCCCGCUCCAGGCUCCAGACGAGGAGGCCAGGGCACCAGCCAGGCACAUACAACCCCCUAGCUCGAGCCCUGGAAGGAGGAGUUAGCGAUGUUCUGCUGAGCGAAUACGGGGUCGUGGCACCAAUCUUAGCACGUUUCACCGGUGACUGUAUAUUGAGGCCCACUGUGCACAGGCAGUUUGCAUAUUUCACCUUCACAUGGUUACAUACAAUUCUGAUCCUCAUUGGGCAGUAGUGGGGAUGAAAGGCACAUCCAAGUCUGCGCAGCCCUCAAGUGGUGGAUCCAGGUGGGUUUCAUACCCACACCCCUGACUUGACCCUCUUCCUAACCACUUCCCAAGAACUUUGAGUGGUCCCAUUUAGACCCAAUUUCUCUAAUUGCUCCAUAGUAGGAGUUCUAUUUACAGACAAAGAAGAUGAAGGGGGUGGUAGUUUGCUCAGCCACAUGAUAGUAAGUGGGACUCUAUGCCCAGGAAGGUGGAUGUGUGAGUGUGGGGAUGUGGCUGGGACAGGAGAGCUCCCAAAGCUUGCCCCCUGGGAAGCUCUGUCCUGAGACCCACCCCACCCCCGGCACCAAAACAUACCUGGCCUAGUUCACAUUCAGUGCUACAGGCGUGUACAGGGCACCCAACAGUCAUGUACAGGGCAUGUAAGCAGGCAUGUGCUGGGCACUUAGCAGGUGCUGGGGUCACCCAGAUCAAGGUGGACCUCCCCCAAACCAUUGCAUGAAUCUCAGAGAAUGGUAGGACAGAUGGCCCCUCCCUGCCCACCUGUUGAGGAUGUGAAGUUCUCCCCCACCCCAAUGUGGCUGUCACACGCCAUUUCUCUGAACACACCUCUAUAACGUUGUGUACCCACUUCCCUCUUCCAAGAGCAGCAUUCUCAACACAUACCCAGAAAACUCCUACUCAUCCAUCAAAGCCCGUCUCUCAAGGGCGCCCCCUCUAAGAAGGCUUUUCUAACCAACUUCCUUUUUUUGGGUUAAAAGUCCCUUUCCUGUGCUUCCCAAGCACAUGCAGGCCCCUUCCUGGGGGCACAUGCCUAUGAAUUUCAUAACCUGUGUUUGCAUCUUCCUUUCACACUAGACUGUGGGCUCCAGGAUGGAGUUGGUUGGAAGCAGUCAGAUAGCAUGCUCUGGAGCCUCCACCUGAGUUCUAAUCCUAGCUCUGCCAUUUUCAAGCGAUGCACUGUUGUGCAAGGGAACUUAAGCUCCCUGUGCCUCAGUUUUCUCCUCUCUAAAAUGGGGAGGAUAAUACUGUGACUUCUUCUAUAGAGUUGUGCUGAGGAUGAAAUGGGAAUGAAGCACCUAAAAGAGGACCUAGCACACAGUAAGUGACCAACCGACAGCCAUUUUUAUUGUUGCUCCGGGUCCCACAGAGCGGCUCUUCUCAGGUCUAUUCUCCUGACAGGUAAGGUGCCAGUUCUGUCUAGGUCAGAAUCGUGCCUCAGCCAGCGGUUCUCAAACUCCUGUGUGCUUCAGAAUCCAGUAGCGUCAUGUGAAAAAUGCAGGUUAGCCAGUCACCACAGGUCUGAAUGGGCCUGGGAAUGGGCUUUCUAGAAAGCUCCCUGCAUCCCAUUCUGACGCAGGUGGUUUACAGCAGGACUCAAACCCACUGCUCUCGGGAUCACCAAUGAGACUUUGUCAUGGGAGCGAGACUCCUGGUGACCAGCUCCUCCUCAUCGCUAUGAAGGGAGGUUUAGGAGGUAGCACAGUAGUUAAGGCCUUGCCAGGAGACCUGGGUUCAAAUCCUGGCUUCCCUCUUCUGGGCAAAUGGCUUCCCGUCAUUUCCUUUUCUGAGACGUGGUGGUCCCACAGGUCCCUUCUCCCUGUCUGAGGGUUGGAUGAGUGCUUAUCCAGAGUGGACCUGAGACACGUUGCAUACCCAGCGAGCAGGGGCGGCCACCACCUUCACCCUGCAGCAGUUCGUCUUCUGAGGCUUUGUCCCUGAGUGUUUUGUUUUCUGUGGAUAGAUUCUGGCUCAUGUUCGUGGGCCUGCCCUGCAUACAAAUGCCAAGAGGACUGGCCCGCCCCUGGGAUCUGUCCUCGCCUGUCCUCGCCAAGCACCCAGCUGCGAGUUCCCAGCAGGGCUCGGAAGUCCCGGGUCCUCCUGUGAAGCUGGGACCACCAUGCUGGUCCAGCCUCCUUGGUUGUGGUCGUGGCCAGAAGCAGUCAGACUGCUGGUCCCUUUGAGAGCGGGCGUCCCUGGGAGAGUGGCCGCCGGGAGGUCUUCGGGGAAAUUGGGCGCCACCAGGACAAUUGGUCGCUGUUUGGGGGAGUGAGGUUGGCAGGCCCUUGGCCCUCAGCACUGAGCCUCUGCCAGGCCCCUGCCAAGCCUGCGGCCGGUUUCCCACUGCCUGCCAGUUUCAGGGCCAUUCGGGGAGGGGGCCCAGGGGAAUUCAUUGCUCCUGUCUUCAGCAUCUUUGCUGGGGUCCAGGAAGCCUGGGCAGUGUCCAUUCUCAGAAAGCAGGUCAGCACAGCCACAGACAUGCUCUGAUGAUGCCCACUGUCUACCAGGCUAGGGGCGGGAUACUUAGAACCAGCCUUCCAGAUGCCUUAGAGACCCCUCCAAUGGGCUGCCAGGGGCCUCACAGGCCAUGGCAAUGCAGAAGGCCUGGCUGGCUUGAGCCCUGGGUGCAUGUUAACUCUGGGUGGCCCUAGUCAAGUGCCUUGGCUGGUGAAACAACUGAACAAAGCCUCUACCCCCCUGCAA